Molecule: long non-coding RNA, 1369 nt
Organism: Stegodyphus dumicola
Lineage: Eukaryota; Metazoa; Arthropoda; Arachnida; Araneae; Eresidae
Source: RefSeq, a predicted model, not a curated record
UCCAAAGAUCAUUCAACUUUCCAACUCCAAAGGCUAUUUAAAUCAUUCAUCUUCUCCUGCAGUAUUUCCUCAGCACCGAAUACCUAUCUUAGAACUAUUUUCUUAAGAACUAAAUAUGGAAGAAGAAUUGUCCACUGUUAGAAUAUUUACUACUUUAAUCCAAAUGAGGAUAUAGCCUUUAUCUAAUUUUGUUAAUGCACGUUUAAUUUGGAAGAUGAAAUGAAGAUCACUGGAAUAGCAACACUCUGAAAAAUGGCCGUCUGCCAGUCUCGGUGAAGAUAAAUUGAAAAUUUUCCGUUUCAUUCAUUUUCCAAAUCAUUGGGCUGAUAAUGCAUGGCAGCGUAACGUAACAUAACCCCAAAAUAGUUCGAAAACCCUUUCUUAACUGUUUAUAAUAUUAAAAACUAGCACCAAAUUAAUUAUCGCAAAUUAGUGCAUUUAAGCAUCCUGCUAAAAGAUUAUUUAAAAAAAAAAAAAAAAAAAUUAAACAGUCAGUUGAAAACUCAGCAGUACGACAUUCUUGGAAUGAUUAAAAUAUGACCUUUAGUGGAGUGUCUCUGAAGAGAAAUUAAAAAAAAUUUAAUUUGAUUUUCAUUUAAUAAUGAAGAGACUUAUUCAUUGAUGUACAUUCUUUUUUACUGGGUUAUUUGCGGUGAGGGUUGCUACUGAUAUUUCCUUCAGAUGCUAUAGCGACAAUUUUUAUUUUGCCAAGAUUAAAUUUAAUAAAAGCAUUAACACCUUCUUUGAGAUGAUAUUCAUAAAUAUUGUUUAUUUGCAAUAUCACGCAAUGAUUUGAUUUACCAAACAAUGAAAAAUGACUCAGUCUUGAAACCGAAGUAAGUUAAGGAAUACCAAGAAGAGGCAAAUUAAAAAAUACAACUCCUUACGGCAAGUAAUCAUUUCCUUCCGAGAGACUCUUAUAGAAUGUUCUGCAGCUUCUAGCAAGUGGCUUUAUAAUCCAUUAUUUAGAGUAGGCACUUCAAGUUCAUUUUCUGCUGUCUGGUUUGCCUCGUGACCAUGGUAACAGCAGCUUCGAAAGAUGGUUAGACUGCCUUAAUCCCCUUUCCACAUCCACUUCAUUUCCUUUUUAUGUGUAGAAACACGUUAAAAAUAAAUGAAGUGGGUGUAAAGAACGAAGAGAACUUCGUGAAAAACCCACGAAUGAAGAUUGACUUGGACUACAAUAUCAAAUGAGAUAGAGAAAAUAAGUGCUGUGCAGUGAAUGACACCUAUUACGAUCGUAAAUGAGGGAGGGGUCGAAAAGAUUUUUAAGUGCUUCAAGUAAUAGACUAAGCAGCAUCAUGCUGCAUGUAAUAUACUCUGAGGAUAUAAAAAAAAAAAAAAAAAACUUUGGUAAAUAAGUACAAAA